AAACCGCUAGCGGAUUUGCUGCACGAAAACUAUUCUUUCACAACACCUAACAGAGGAAAACAGCCUUUUCAGUGUUUAAACGCGUCAGCGUUUUCAUUUAACAUCUGAGCCACAUGACCACAAGUCUAUCAGUCAUGUGAAUGCUGCCCAUAUGACACGCAGCGUUUCCCGUUCAGCUGAAUGAAUACAGACGGUCGGUAUAAUCAUUCGAAAACUGCAUUCGCGCACAUAUGCACUUUAAAACCUUGCAAGUCCAUAGAAUGCAAUACACUUCAAUGGAAUAAUGCAUUCAGACUGUAUUUUUGAAAGCCUAAUUUUUCCUACGAAGUCAAACAAUGGCAAACAAGUACUCUAAAAGACACACGAAACAAGUCGCACUGGAAAAUGAAACUGAGCAAGCAUCACUUGCACUGACUGUAGAGAAGCAUCAAAGACAAGGCCAAGUGGAGGUGAUCUCUGGGUCAGCAUGGCAGGGCUUCAGGAGGAAAGUGUGUCUGCUGGUGCCAUACAUGUGGCCCAGGGGAAGUGUGGGGUUGCAGGCUCUGGUGAUUCUGUGUGUUGGGCUGCUGGGACUUGAGCGGGUCAUCAAUGUGUUUGUACCCAUUUACAGCAGGAAUAUAGUGAACCAGCUGUCAGCAAUGGAGAGCUGGAGAACCCUGGCCAUCACGGUCUGUGUUUACGUCCUCCUUAAGUUCUUCCAGGGCGGAGGGGUAGGGACAUCAGGGUUUGUCAGUAACUUGCGCAGCUUCCUGUGGACUUAUGUCCAGCAGUACACCAGCCGUGUGGUGCAGGUCCGUCUUUUCACUCACCUGCAUGACCUCUCUCUACGCUGGCACCUGGGCCGCCGCACUGGAGAUGUCCUGCGCAGCAUUGACCGUGGAACCUCCUCCGUGAACAACUUGUUAAGCUAUAUUGUGUUCAGCAUUGUACCCACUAUUGCUGACAUCAUCAUUGCCAUCAUCUAUUUUGUGACGUACUUCAGUGCCUGGUUCGGCCUCAUUGUUUUCAUUUGCAUGUUUCUCUACCUCACUAUCACCAUAAUUAUCACUGAAUGGAGGACCAAGUACAGGCGGGAAAUGAACACACAGGACAACAUUGCCAAGUCAAAAGCAGUGGACUCUCUUCUCAACUUUGAAACCGUAAAGUACUAUAAUUCAGAGGGUUUUGAAGUCAGGCGCUUUGAGGAUGCUAUCCUGAAAUAUCAGGCAUGUGAAUGGAAGACCAACGCUUCCCUGGCUCUCCUGAACCAAACCCAGAACCUGAUUAUUGGAUUUGGCCUGUUGGCCGGAUCCCUGCUUUGUGCAUACUAUGUUACAGUGGACAAGUUUCAAGUUGGUGACUAUGUUCUUUUUGGAACCUACAUUAUUCAGCUCUACACUCCACUCAACUGGUUUGGUACAUAUUAUAGAAUGAUCCAAAGUGCAUUUGUUGACAUGGAGAGCAUGUUUGAACUGCUAACCGAGGAAAAAGAGGUAAAGGAUGAUGUGAAUGCAGGAGACCUUUUGUUCACAGAAGGAAGGGUUGAUUUCCAGAACGUGUGCUUUAGUUACACUGCUGGGAAAGAAAUUCUCAGUGAAGUCUCAUUCACAGUGAUGCCUGGUCAGACAGUUGCACUGGUUGGUCCAUCCGGAUCAGGAAAAAGCACCAUCAUCCGUUUGCUUUUCCGUUUUUAUGACGUGCAGGGUGGCUGCAUCCUCAUCGAUGGUCAGGACAUCUCUAAGGUGAAACAGAACUCUCUCCGAUCCUACGUUGGUGUAGUUCCUCAGGACACUGUUCUUUUCAAUGAUAACAUCCGUGAAAACAUUCGCUAUGGACGCAUCUCUGCAAGUGACCAAGAAGUAGAAGAGGCUGCAGUGGCUGCUGAUAUCCACCAUAAGAUAUUAUCCUUUCCAGACGGAUAUGAUACUGAGGUGGGUGAAAGGGGUCUGAAGUUGAGCGGAGGGGAGAAACAGAGAGUGGCCAUUGCUCGCACAAUCCUAAAAUCCCCUCGCAUUAUUUUGCUUGAUGAAGCUACAUCUGCUUUGGACAGUCAAACAGAGCGUAACAUUCAGGCUUCUCUCGCUAAGGUGUGUGCCAACCACACCACUCUGGUCGUGGCACACAGGUUAUCCACCAUCAUCAAGGCCGAUCAGAUCCUGGUUCUUCAUGACGGGCGGAUAGCAGAACAAGGAAGGCACGAGGAGCUGCUGGCCAUGGGGGGACUGUACGCAGCCAUGUGGUUAAAACAGCAGCAAACCCCAGAGUCAGAGGUCUCUACAGAUGAACAACCGCAGGAGCCACAGCAGAGUGGCUGAAGCUGAUGGAGCAGCGAUGAUGAAUGGUGAUGGGUGAAAUCAAUCAGGAAAAUGGUAAAAGAGUCCAUCUCAGACACAGGGGCACCAGACUGCACAAAAGUAAUAAACUAAGAAGAGUGUUUCUCAGGGAAAGGUGUCAUUAAAAAUCUACCAAUCAUUGAGUACCUCUAAAUAUGUUAAAGGGUUAGUUCACCCUAAAAUGAAAAUGGUCCUCAUUUACUCAUUACCCUCAUUUUGUUCCAAACUUGUAUGACUCUUUUAUUCUGUGCAAAAUAAAAGUAGAUACUGUGUUUUGAUUUUGAGUGUUGGCAACCAGUGGUUCCCAUUGACUUUCAUUGCAUGCACAAAAACCACUGACAUUUCUCUUCUUUUAUGCCUCACAAAAAAAGUCAUACAGGUAAAUAAUGACAGCAUUUUCAUUUUUGGUGAAUUUUCCCUGUAAUGCUUAGGAAACAGCAUUAGUAUAAAAAUACUGUCAUGUGAUGACUAUAUUCAGUCAUUUCUGUUACAUUGGUUUUUUCUUUAUAUUACAUGUAACACAUUUGUUUACACUUCUAUCCAUCACUGUAAACUGAGGAGAUGUAGAGGAAUCUCUGUCGUCUACAUACGGGAAUUAAGUAGCCUAAUACCACACACAGGAUUUUGGGAAAUCCUAGCCAAUGAAGGAGAAGGACACAUCAAAUUUCCCUUCAAAUAUUCACCAGAUGAAGGCAUCUCAGUAGAUGGGAAUUUCACACAAAUAAUUGGAU
Sinocyclocheilus anshuiensis is the source of this 3043-nucleotide RNA transcript. It is a transcript of the gene named ATP binding cassette subfamily B member 6 (LAN blood group) b, with no coding region annotated. The transcript has 19 exons. Lineage: Eukaryota; Metazoa; Chordata; Actinopteri; Cypriniformes; Cyprinidae. The record is from RefSeq and is a predicted model, not a curated record.